This 494-nucleotide ribosomal RNA is filed under the name Megastrebla nigriceps '1' Di138. RNAcentral describes it as "partial 16S ribosomal RNA". The record is from RNAcentral. Lineage: Eukaryota; Metazoa; Arthropoda; Insecta; Diptera; Streblidae.
UUUAAACUUCUACACCUAAAUUUAAUCUUAAUCCAACAUCGAGGUCGCAAUCUUUUUUAUCGAUAUGAACUCUCCAAAAAAAUUACGCUGUUAUCCCUAAAGUAACUUAUUCUUAUAAUCUAUAUAAUAAGAUCAUCAAUUCAUAAAUUAAUGAUAUUUUCAAAUAAAAGUUAAUUCAAUUUUACUAUCACCCCAAUAAAAUAUUUUAUUAUAUAAUAAUAAAUUUAAUUAUACUAUAAUUAUUAUAUAUAUAAUUUAUAUAAAGAUUUAUAGGGUCUUCUCGUCUUUUAAAUUCAUUUUAGCUUUUUAACUAAAAAAUAAAAUUUUAUUACAAAUUUACAUAAAACAGUUAAUAUUUCGUCCAACCAUUCAUUCCAGCCUUCAAUUAAAAGACUAAUGAUUAUGCUACCUUUGCACAGUCAAUAUACUGCGGCCAUUUAAAUAAUCAGUGGGCAGGUUAGACUUUAAAUUUAAAUUCAAAAAGACAUGUUUUU